RNAcentral lists this ribosomal RNA (288 nucleotides) under uncultured bacterium. RNAcentral describes it as "partial 16S ribosomal RNA". It matches the Rfam family "Bacterial small subunit ribosomal RNA", at positions 335 to 615 of the family's 1533-position model. The record is from RNAcentral.
ACUCCUACGGGAGGCAGCAGUGGGGAAUAUUGCACAAUGGGGAAACCCUGAUGCAGCCAUGCCGCGUGUGUGAAGAAGGCCUUCGGGUUGUAAAGCACUUUCAGCGAGGAGGAAAGGGUGUAAGUUAAUACCUUACAUCUGUGACGUUACUCGCAGAAGAAGCACCGGCUAACUCCGUGCCAGCAGCCGCGGUAAUACGGAGGGUGCGAGCGUUAAUCGGAAUUACUGGGCGUAAAGCGUGCGCAGGCGGUUUGUUAAGCGAGAUGUGAAAGCCCCGGGCUGCAACCU